CUUGUAGAGAGGGCUAAAUUUGUAGCAGUGCCAGAAGACUGCAGACCCAGUAAACAGACUGAAAGUCACCUUCAUAGGAGAAGCUGCCAUUGACACAGGGGCAAUGAGGAAGGAGGUCCUGUCUGAGAUGGUUGCUGGGAUAGAGACACGCCUCUUUGAAGGGAGAAGGGGAAGAUCCCAAAAUACAGUGAGCUGCUGGUGAAAUAUGGGCCGCCAAGGUGGGCCGCCUCCACGUAUCUUUCAGAAGUGGCGUUACCAAAUCCUGGUGACUGGGUCGCUUUAAGGACAUCACAAAAGAUAAUAUCCAUGAUGAAGACUCAUCCACAU
Long non-coding RNA from Corythoichthys intestinalis (scribbled pipefish), 327 nucleotides. RefSeq lists it as uncharacterized. The transcript is spliced from 3 exons. NCBI's taxonomy places the organism in Eukaryota, Metazoa, Chordata, Actinopteri, Syngnathiformes, Syngnathidae. The record is from RefSeq and is a predicted model, not a curated record.